GGCACUCGGCACAGUCUGCAGCUGAACUGAUGUGGCAUCUCUGUCUGGGUGCUCCUGUGUGGGCUUCGGAUGACAAGACGAUGCCUUUAUGUUUGAGUGUAGGACUCGAAUUGGCAUAUGUGGUGCCAGCUGGAGCUAGGGAGGUGUGAAGAUCUUGAGCAGGUAUACACCUCAUGCUACCAAGUAUCUAAACUAGGACCACACAGACAGAAACUCAGCAUGAAAACACAGCCCAGAUGGAGUCACAGUCUCUUUACAAUACAGUGUGGGUAAGGUAAACUAAACAAGGCUGGAUGGGACAAUCGCGUUACUCAUCUGUCGUUUCAGUUGUUAUGUGGAGAGCAGUAACUGGACUGUACAGAUUGUCCAUUGCUGCAGUCAGAGGGAGCAGUACAGUUUUCAUCUCUAUGGCACUGGCUGUGUCUUCAGCAGAUAGUGGCCAUUUAUUCCCGGUGACCACCUCGGAGUGAACAGUCUGGUUUGUAGGUUGUUGUGAACUACGUGUUCUUACGAGUAAAGGCGCCCGUUGUAAUCCUAAUUUUCCACGACGAGAGGAGCACGAUGUGAAACAUUUCCACCGGCUAAAACACAAACUAGACGGUCUCGGAGCACGUAUGGCGGCCGGGUGAAUGAAUGCUUUGGUGUAUACACAGAGUGCACGAGUGGAAACAAAUUAAGAAUCAGAAUUUAUUUUAAUGUAUUUUUCAGUUUCUGCCUUUAAAUACUUUCUGUUUUGGUGGGUUAAUGAGAGAACAAACUUCAAGCUAUUUUUGAAAACAAGUCUUUAUUGAAGAAGAACCUAAAAUCCAUCAAACUGUUUAAAAAGCACACGUACUAUACAGUAGGUGAUGAUGCAUGAGGUACAUACUAGCGCGGCUUCCUCUAAUCCCAGACCACAGAUUUCAUCCUCUUUCUGUGUUAUCGUCUCCACUGGACGGCUGCUCUGGAGACUCAGGACCACUCUCGUCUUCCCCAAGCUGUUCCUCAGUUGUUCAAUUUUCCUUGCACACUGAGAACAUAAAGCUUCUGGAAGGAUGAAAACUAUUUCUAAAUAACCAAAAAGCAGAGAAAGUACAUUAAACAUAAGGCUUGUUUAAAAAUAAAAGAAAAUAAACGAACGACUGGUCUUCUUCCAUCCUCACCCCACACUACGCACCUCCCACCUGCCUGUUGUUUGAGGUCGCACAGCCACCUUGCUCGUUCAGCUCAUUCUCCAGCUGCUUUGCCUGCUCAUUCUUGUUCAUCGCUCUCAGUAUUCGCAGGGUCUCAGUCGGUGCGACUGAAACGG
Molecule: long non-coding RNA, 1288 nt
Organism: Polypterus senegalus (gray bichir)
Lineage: Eukaryota; Metazoa; Chordata; Cladistia; Polypteriformes; Polypteridae
Exons: 3
Source: RefSeq, a predicted model, not a curated record